CCUGUCCUGUCAGUUACCAUUGGCUUGACCUUAGGACAAAUGAGAAAAUUCUCAGCCUCAGUCUUUCUGCACAUGGGACUCCAUAACUUUUUGAUGAAAGUUCAAAUAGUGUGGGGUUUGUGAAAGAGAUUUUUAUUCUACAACUAUCAACAAAUUUUAUUUAAAAGCCUCUCGAGACUCCCACAUUCUAUGAUAGAACGAGAACUCCUAAAUGAAAAUUUUAUUAACAAAACAGGCAAACGUCCACACUACCUAUUAAACGAACAUCAUGGCAAAAUGAUCAAUGACUAGCCAUAUGGUGAGGCGACAACUAACAUGGCGUAAUUGUAUGAAAAUUGCUGCCGAGCGAGCUCUGGGUUGAUAAAACGAGUCCAAUGGCUGUUUUCUCAUUUUGUUGGGAGUGCUUGCCUAUUCUCAGAGUAGCACGGCAUCCCAUUUUCCCUGUUGCACUUGAUAAGGGCAAAUUGGCAGAGUAGGAUGGACAGAGCUGCGUGCAGUCCCACAGUUCAGCCUGCAAUCGACUGGAAGAGUGGUACAGAUUGUUUUCCCUUCAUUCAGAGACACUUAUCAAGGCCCAACAAGGAAGGUAAUUCGGGCCACUUGCCAGGCAGAUGAACCUCUCAGAAGAGACAGCACCAAGCCCCUCCCCCCAACCCUCAAGCAUAACAAAAUUGUUAAGACUUUGCCAGCCCCAGGGGGUAGAAAACAAAGAAAGAAAGGGGAAAGAAAGAAAUUUCUGAAGCAGACUGCUUAAUAAAGGGUACCCAACAGAGUAAUUUAGCCAAGUAUUUCAAAGAGCUAUUCAGUUGUGGCCUUGUAACCUCUCCGCGCGCGCCCGUGAGAAGAGAAGCUCACCGCAGAAAUGUGCUCUUUGAUUUGUAGCUGAUUUUCCUCUCUUAUAUGCAUCUACUCAGUGCCUCUCAGAUUCAGGAGCAGAGACAAUCACCUUGUGACAAGAGGGAAGAAAGUAAGAAACAUGUGGAGACACACAAAGGGAUGAAGAAACAGGUCCAGAGGAACCAGGAGCUCAGAGGGAUGAAGGAACCUCCCCAGGUUCACAGCGACUCGGAGGCAGAGCCCAGACUUGAGCUCCAAAAUGGGAGUCCAGAGCUCUCAGUAAAACCUCAUGCUGUUUCAAAGAGUAAUGUGUCGAAUCAGUGAAUGCGUGACUCAUCUUACAAAACUGAGUCUCAGACAUUUCAAAGAUCUCUCCUUUCAGAGCUGGGAUCCUGGGCCGCUGUGCAGGGCUCCACGCC
Molecule: long non-coding RNA, 1256 nt
Filed under: Sus scrofa (pig)
Lineage: Eukaryota; Metazoa; Chordata; Mammalia; Artiodactyla; Suidae
Description: lncRNA (ENSSSCG00015070414.1)
Source: RNAcentral